UACGGAGUGGUGUAAAGGUAGCAUACUAGGCUCAUAACCUAGAGACAGAAGUUCGAUUCUUCUCUCCGCAA
Molecule: transfer RNA, 71 nt
Filed under: Crassvirales sp.
Lineage: Duplodnaviria; Heunggongvirae; Uroviricota; Caudoviricetes; Crassvirales
Description: tRNA-Met
Rfam family: tRNA
About the family: Transfer RNA (tRNA) molecules are approximately 80 nucleotides in length.
Source: RNAcentral